UCUAGGGGGGCUGCAGUGAGGAAUAUUGGUCAAUGGGCGAGAGCCUGAACCAGCCAAGUCGCGUGAGGGAGUACUGCCCUAUGGGUUGUAAACCUCUUUUGUCGGGGAGCAAAAGCCGGACGUGUCCGGCUGUGAGAGUACCCGAAGAAAAAGCAUCGGCUAACGCCGUGCCAGCAGCCGCGGUAAUACGGAGGAUGCGAGCGUUAUCCGGAUUUAGUGGGUUUAAAGGGUGCGCAGGCGGAUUAUUAAGUCAGCGGUUAAAUCGUGGGGCUCAACCCCAUCCAGCCGUUGAAACUGGGGGGCUAGAGUGUGCGAGAGGUAUGCGGAAUGCGUGGUGUAGCGGUGAAAUGCAUAGAUAGCACGCAGAACCCCGAUUGCGAAGGCAGCAUACCGGUGCACAACUGACGCUCAGGCACGAAAGCGUGGGUAUCGAACAGGAUUAGAUACCCGGGUAGUC
This 457-nucleotide ribosomal RNA is filed under the name uncultured bacterium. RNAcentral's name for it is "partial 16S ribosomal RNA". It matches the Rfam family "Bacterial small subunit ribosomal RNA", at positions 338 to 795 of the family's 1533-position model. The record is from RNAcentral.